RNAcentral lists this ribosomal RNA (483 nucleotides) under uncultured bacterium. Its description in RNAcentral is "partial 16S ribosomal RNA". It matches the Rfam family "Bacterial small subunit ribosomal RNA", at positions 28 to 507 of the family's 1533-position model. The record is from RNAcentral.
GACGAACGCUGGCGGCGUGCUUAACACAUGCAAGUCGAACGCUGAAGCUCAGCUUUUGUUGGGUGGAUGAGUGGCGAACGGGUGAGUAACACGUGAGUAACCUGCCUCCUUCUUUGGGAUAACGCCCGGAAACGGGUGCUAAUACUGGAUAUUCACUGGUCUUCGCAUGGGGGUUGGUGGAAAGGGUUUUUCUGGUGGGGGAUGGGCUCGCGGCCUAUCAGCUUGUUGGUGGGGUGAUGGCCUACCAAGGCUUUGACGGGUAGCCGGCCUGAGAGGGUGACCGGUCACAUUGGGACGGAGAUACGGCCCAGACUCCUACGGGAGGCAGCAGUGGGGAAUAUGGCACAAUGGGCGCAAGCCUGAUGCAGCGACGCCGCGUGAGGGAUGGAGGCCUUCGGGUUGUGAACCUCUUUCGCUCAUGGUCAAGCCGCAACAAUGGUUGUGGUGAGGGUAGUGGGUAAAGAAGCGCCGGCUAACUACGUG